Molecule: unclassified non-coding RNA, 378 nt
Filed under: uncultured bacterium
Lineage: Bacteria
Description: contains 16S-23S intergenic spacer region
Source: RNAcentral
UCCGAGUUGACCCCGGCAGUCUCCUACGAGUUCCCACCAUUACGUGCUGGCAACAUAGAACGAGGGUUGCGCUCGUUGCGGGACUUAACCCAACAUCUCACAACACGAGCUGACGACAGCCAUGCACCACCUGUGUACCUGUCCCGAAGGAAGACCGUGUUUCCACGGCUGUCAGGCACAUGUCAAGCCCAGGUAAGGUUCUUCGCGUUGCGUCGAAUUAAACCACAUGCUCCACCGCUUGUGCGGGCCCCCGUCAAUUCCUUUGAGUUUCAGCCUUGCGGCCGUACUCCCCAGGCGGGGCACUUAUCGCGUUAGCUACGGCACUGACGGGGUCGCUCCCCCCAGCACCUAGUGCCCAUCGUUUACGGCGUGGACUAC